Long non-coding RNA from Zingiber officinale, 166 nucleotides. RefSeq lists it as uncharacterized. The transcript is spliced from 3 exons. The record is from RefSeq and is a predicted model, not a curated record. NCBI's taxonomy places the organism in Eukaryota, Viridiplantae, Streptophyta, Magnoliopsida, Zingiberales, Zingiberaceae.
UUGCUGAUCCGAGAUUGGGGUUUCCUCAAUUCCAGUCAUCUCAUUACUGAUUGGUUCUAUUGCCAUUACAGAACGGCUGAAGAAGAAUUGAGGAUAUUGAUUCGAGACGGUGUCUUGACGGGGGAUCUGUUUUGGAUACGAUCCUUUUCGAUUGGAGGCGGGUACU